This 129-nucleotide non-coding RNA is filed under the name Faucicola atlantae. Its description in RNAcentral is "Moraxella atlantae Glycine sequence". It matches the Rfam family "Glycine riboswitch aptamer". From Rfam's summary of the family: This family represents the bacterial glycine riboswitch. Glycine riboswitches usually consist of two metabolite-binding aptamers domains with similar structures in tandem. Lineage: Bacteria; Pseudomonadati; Pseudomonadota; Gammaproteobacteria; Moraxellales; Moraxellaceae. The record is from Rfam by way of RNAcentral.
GCUAGAUGUCAGGAGAGUAUUGCGGCAAUUUUUGUUUGUCUGGUCAGUCAAUGAUCGGGCAUAUCGCUGGCAAUCACCGAAGGCGUAAAAACCCUACAAUCGCUCAGGUUCAUGGACUGAACAUCACGC